CACGGGGGUUGCGAGCGUUGUCCGGAAUUACUGGGCGUAAAGGGCGCGCAGGCUGUUAUGCGAGUCUGCUGUGAAAUGUACCGGCUCAACCGGUGCCUUGCGGCGGAUACUGCAUAGCUGGAGUACUGGAGAGGGAAGUGGAAUUCCCGGUGUAGCGGUGAAAUGCGUAGAUAUCGAGAGGAACACCGGUGGCGAAGGCGGCUUUCUGGCCAGUUACUGACGCUCAUGCGCGAAAGCUGGGGUAGCGAACCGGAUUAGAUACCCCGGUA
Molecule: ribosomal RNA, 269 nt
Filed under: uncultured prokaryote
Description: partial 16S ribosomal RNA
Rfam family: Bacterial small subunit ribosomal RNA
Source: RNAcentral